Molecule: transfer RNA, 75 nt
Filed under: Neurospora terricola FGSC 1889
Lineage: Eukaryota; Fungi; Ascomycota; Sordariomycetes; Sordariales; Sordariaceae
Description: tRNA-Ile (AAT) (tRNA-Ile-AAT-1-1)
Rfam family: tRNA
About the family: Transfer RNA (tRNA) molecules are approximately 80 nucleotides in length.
Source: RNAcentral
GGUCCGUUGGUUGUAACGGUUUAAACACUUUCCUAAUCUGGAAGUUAGGUACCGGUUCGAAUCCGGUACGGGCCA